AGUGAACGCUGGCGGUAGGCCUAACACAUGCAAGUCGAACGGCAGCACAGUAAGAGCUUGCUCUUACGGGUGGCGAGUGGCGGACGGGUGAGGAAUACAUCGGAAUCUACUUUUUCGUGGGGGAUAACGUAGGGAAACUUACGCUAAUACCGCAUACGACCUACGGGUGAAAGCAGGGGAUCUUCGGACCUUGCGCGAUUGAAUGAGCCGAUGUCGGAUUAGCUAGUUGGCGGGGUAAAGGCCCACCAAGGCGACGCUCCGUAGCUGGGCUGAGAGGAGGAUCAGCCACACUGGAACUGAGACACGGUCCAGACUCCUACGGGAGGCAGCGGUGGGGAAUAUUGGACGAUGGGCGCAAGCCUGAUCCAGGCAUACCGGGUGGGUGAAGAAGGCCUUCGGGUUGGAAAACCCUUUUGUUGGGGAAGACAAGCAGCAGGUUAAUACCCCGCUGUUCUGACGGUACCCAAAGAAUAAGCACCGGCUAACUUCGUG
Molecule: ribosomal RNA, 492 nt
Filed under: uncultured bacterium
Lineage: Bacteria
Description: partial 16S ribosomal RNA
Rfam family: Bacterial small subunit ribosomal RNA
Source: RNAcentral